UUUUUAGAAAAAAAACACAACCCAGCCUUGUAUAUCCUUUAAUCAUAAAAGCUGAGCAUAUAGAUAGAAGUUUGAAUAGUUACUCAAAAUAUCCUUUGAAAUAAAGGGCUAUCUGAGUAACAAAAGAAGAAAGCGUACAUUUGACAAGAAGAAUGGGCAGUGCCUGCCCAACUGCACUAUGCAAAAAGAAUUUUACCCAAAGGGAAUACACUGGACCAAAUAACCGUCCAUUGUUCGACUGGCCAGAUGAUUUGGAGCAAUGCUCUGUUCCUGGCACAGUUUCCCUCUAUACAACUUCAAUACACACUGUUAGUAAUUCCAUCUGUGCACAUUCAAAAAACCAGUUGAUGGAUGUUCUCUCGUGCAAAACCAAAAAAUGUCCUCCACCAAGCACCCAAAAAUACAAGUAUGCCUUCUGCUUUUGGCGUCUCAACAGAAGCUAGGGCGGCCAAGCACAUGAGUCGAGGUAUUGCUUCUCAAAAUGUCCUAAAAAUUUUUAUCAGGCAGUUUUUGUCUGUCUCGUCCUUACUUCUUGUACUUCGUCAAUCUCAGGCCAGCCCUGUCGCCUUGUUGAAGCAUCAUGAACAUAUUCAAUCUUUCCUCUCCAAGAAUCAACUGGCAAAUCCCACAGGAUUUCAAAGAACUUAAAUUAUCACACUUUAACUGCUAUUUCCCUUUCUCACCCAUGAUUAAAAGAAGUCCUCAAGCUCUCAUCUGGUAGUGUCCAAGAGAGCAAAUGCCCACCAGAAUCCCCACUCAACAACUGCUUCAGGUCACUCGUGAGGUAAAGGGCAGUAACAGGAUGUUUAUGAAACUUCAACACCUUGUGAAGCACCAACCUGUACUCUGGUACAUUAUCACCUAAAUUCAGCCCAAUCGUUGGAUUGCUGUUUGAUUUACUUUGAGCACUCUCUUGGGUGGAGCAGUGAAUCAUUUGCCACACCUUAACAGCCCCACUCUGGUGACCUGUCACAUACCAGUUUGUGUCCAUCCAAUCUGAAAAUGUACAGCUUGUCACUGAAAGAAUAGAAUCAGAUGGCAAUUGGGAUGUGUUAAUCACUGCAAGGCAAUCCCCAUUGAUGCUCCAAACAGCAAGCAUUAUUCCAGCAGCUGUCACAAUCUCCCCAGUCAAGUCAUUCACGUAUAUUGCUGAAACUGGCAAUGGAAACUCUGGUAACUGCCUAACAAAAACCAAGGAGCUGAGAUCCCACACGAUAACAGUGCAGUCAUCAGAUCCACUCACUAUCAGCAUGUAAGGCUGGCUAACAUGAAGGCAUGUGAUUUUUCCAGUGUGACCACAAAGCGCCUUCUCUAAUUGCAAAUGCUGUAAAACUCGGGGACCAUCCUUGCCAACUCUCCAAACAGAAAUUAACCCAUCAUCAGCGCCCGUAACCAAUAUUUGACCAUCAUGGCUAAGACCUGUACACUGAAUCUGGUUACCCCCAUGAAGAUUUUCAUGUGUUGAAAGGAGUUUGUCCUGGUCAUAGCUCAUAAAUCUCAAGCUCCGGUCUGGAAAUCCCCAUGCCACAUAUUUGGUAUACGUUCUAGGUUUAAGUAAACUGUUUGUCCCUGCCACAAGAAUUUUCUCAUGGAAAGUAACAAUCUGAGUUAUGGCUGAUGAGGUCUUGCGUAUUUCAUGUGGGACAAGAUGGGAAGAAUACUUGAGAGGAUGAAGAGGAAGCCUUCUGUCAGACCGCCUUUUCACAUGGGGUUUGAGGAACAGUUGCUUGGGUGUCUGCCCAAAGUGGUUGAUUUGUGCUAGAAUGGAGGCUUUCAUUGCAGGAUCAGUAACUGAGUCUAUGUCCACACUCCCCUCAUAUGUGUAAUGAUAGAAAACAUUGAUGGCUUCUUCAGCUGCCUUCCCUCUCUGUUUAUAUCCGAAUAUGAGGUCUAUCCAAUGAUGCAGAUUUUCUGAAACAUAAUCAGAUUCCAAGGCUGCCCUAUGUUUCCUAAUAAAUUCUCUGGCACUGCCUUUGGCCCAAGGAGGCAAGAAGACAUCACCAACCUUCUCUCCUGAUUGUUUCUCUCCCAAGUCAAGUUUAAACCUAUUUACAAGAAAUUCUGGCAUGUAGAAGAAUUCUGGAAUCAAUUCCUUCACAUCAGAUGUGUUACCCUUCCCAGCUGCACUUAACCAAGUUUCUCUAAUGCCAUUGAAAAGACGAUCAGCAUGAUCAAAUUUUCCACCCUGCAAAUUACGGUGAAGUGAUGUGAAUGGCUCUAAUCUAAGAAGAUAAUAAAGCACAAUCCCCAUGCUUGAGUAAUGUGAUCCAUAGUAGAA
RNAcentral lists this unclassified non-coding RNA (2278 nucleotides) under Hevea brasiliensis (rubber tree). The record is from RNAcentral. Lineage: Eukaryota; Viridiplantae; Streptophyta; Magnoliopsida; Malpighiales; Euphorbiaceae.